Molecule: RNA transcript, 2685 nt
Organism: Mangifera indica (mango)
Lineage: Eukaryota; Viridiplantae; Streptophyta; Magnoliopsida; Sapindales; Anacardiaceae
Gene name: probable LRR receptor-like serine/threonine-protein kinase At2g23950
Exons: 12
Source: RefSeq, a predicted model, not a curated record
AAAGAGAAAGCAAAAGCCACAGAAAGAGAAAGAGAGAGUUCGUAUGGAAAACCCAAAAAAGAGAAAAUAGAUAAAUAAAUAUUUACUGAAGAUUAAAACAAAAGCAAAAGAGGCAAAAACACAAACAUUGCUUUCGUCUUUCAGUUUCGUUUCCAUCUUGUGUUUUGUGUUCAUAAAAAUAAAAACCCACCUCGUUUUCGUUUUUUUUAUUUUUUAUUCCAUCGCUUCGUGAUUAUCCUCAUCACCAUCAGUUUCAGUUAAGAAAGGAUUCUUUUUAACCGCCAUGGCCAUUUUGAACCAACACUUUCUUCUCUUCUUGUUUUGUUUAUGUUCUUUUUCUGGAGUUUAUCUCUCUUAUGAGCCUCGUAACCAUGAAGUGGAGGCGUUGGUGAGUAUAAAGAGAGGCUUGAAUGACCCACAUGGAGUGUUGAGCAACUGGGAUGAAGACUCAGUGGAUCCUUGUAGUUGGGCUAUGAUCACUUGUUCUUCGGAAAAUCUUGUUGUUGGCCUUGGAGCUCCAAGCCAGUCUUUGUCUGGAACUUUAUCAGGAACAAUUGGGAACCUCACUAAUCUUCGCCAAGUAUUGUUGCAGAACAAUAACAUAUCAGGUGAUAUCCCUCCUGAGCUUGGAGCUCUUCAGAAACUUCAAACUUUGGAUCUCUCUAACAACAGGUUCUCUGGUGUAAUCCCAAGCUCUCUUGGUCAACUGAAUAGUCUGCAAUAUUUAAGGCUGAACAACAAUAGCUUGACGGGACCUUUUCCUGUGUCUUUAGCCAAAAUUUCUCAGCUUGCUUUCCUGGAUUUGUCUUAUAACAAUCUCAGUGGACCAGUUCCCAAGUUCCCAGCUAGAACAUUCAAUGUUGUGGGGAACCCAUUAAUUUGUGGAAGCAGCUCCACUGAUGUUUGCUCUGGAUCACUCAAUAGUGUUCCUCCUUCCUUCCCUCUAAAUGCUUCACCUGGGAAACACAAUUCCAAGAAAUUAGCAAUUGGUCUUGGUGUUAGCCUAAGUGUUGUGUGCCUCAUACUUAUUGCUCUUGCACUCCUUUGGCACAGAAAGAGACAGAAGAACCUAAUUAUCCUUAACAUUGGUGACAAACCAGAAGAGGGUCUAAUAGGCCUUGGUAAUCUGAGAAGCUUCACUUUCAGAGAGCUACAACUAGCCACAGACAACUUCAGCUCUAAGAACAUACUUGGUGCCGGUGGAUUUGGCAAUGUUUAUAAGGGAAAACUGGGAGAUGGGACUAUGUUGGCGGUGAAACGGUUGAAGGAUGUGGCUGGAACUUUUGGGGAAUCUCAGUUUAGGACUGAAUUAGAGAUGAUCAGCCUGGCUGUUCAUCGGAACUUACUUCGGUUAAUUGGAUAUUGUGUCACCCCUAAUGAGAGGCUUUUGGUGUAUCCUUACAUGUCUAAUGGCAGCGUGGCUUCCAGGCUCAGAGCAAAACCAGCUCUAGACUGGAAUACUAGGAAGAGGAUAGCCAUUGGAGCUGCAAGGGGUCUGCUGUAUCUACAUGAGCAAUGCGAUCCAAAGAUAAUUCACAGAGAUGUGAAGGCUGCUAAUGUACUUCUGGAUGACUUUUGUGAGGCUGUUGUUGGUGACUUUGGCCUGGCAAAGCUACUUGACCACGCUGAUUCUCAUGUUACUACUGCUGUCCGUGGCACGGUUGGGCACAUCGCACCUGAGUACCUCUCCACUGGUCAGUCAUCUGAGAAAACUGAUGUAUUUGGAUUUGGCAUUCUCUUGUUAGAGCUCAUUACUGGGAUGAGAGCUCUAGAGUUUGGCAAGACAACUAAUCAGAAAGGAGCCAUGCUCGAGUGGGUGAAGAAAAUUCACCAGGAAAAGCAAGUAGAAGUAUUGGUGGACCGGGAGCUAGGAAGCAACUAUGACCGCAUUGAGGUAGGGGAGAUCCUACAAGUGGCAUUGCUGUGCACACAGUACCUUCCCGCCCACCGCCCGAAAAUGUCAGAUGUUGUCCGCAUGCUCGAAGGCGAUGGUCUAGCCGAAAAAUGGGCAGCAUCACAUAAUCAUACGAAUCCCACAAUGAACCUUUUCCAUGGCAACAACAACAACAACAACAACACAUCUCGCACCACUACCGCACCAGACCAUGUCCACACUCACUCUCAUGACCAUUCAAGCAUGUUCGGCACAGGAAUGGACGAUGAUGACGAUGACCAUUCUCUGGAUUACUUUGCCAUGGAACUCUCCGGUCCAAGAUAGUAAGAACAACAAACCAGUACAAGCAAAAUUUUUUACCAAUUCUUUACAAGCCAGUACAUGUUUAAGCAAAAGAUAAGUUGAUUAUUAAGUUUUCUAGUUUCAUGGGGUUGCUGUAAUGUAAAUAUUGCUGUCAAUGUGGGGGUCAUGGUGAUGUAUAGUGGGGACAUUAUGAAGAUUCUCUGAUCCCAAGUCAGGGAGUCACAGAGAGAGGCAAUCUGGGGAAUUGAUUUCAGAAGGGUUUGGUUUUGACUGAAAUUUGGUCACGCGGUUGGAUUUUUGUUCCCGGUCUUCCAAUCCUUGCACAGGUUCUGCCAUCACUUUAACUGCUUUUCCUUUAUAAGCAAUGUUACCCAAAAGGUUUGGGAUCUCUGCUCUCAGCUCCCUGUAUCUUGUUUUCAUAUUUUUGUUUUCAAAUAUCUUAAAUCCAACAAUAUUACAAUAAAAUUAAGGCCACCCAGCUUUGAGUA